This 370-nucleotide ribosomal RNA is filed under the name uncultured bacterium. RNAcentral's name for it is "bacterial SSU rRNA". It matches the Rfam family "Bacterial small subunit ribosomal RNA", at positions 29 to 417 of the family's 1533-position model. The record is from RNAcentral.
AGCGAACGCUAGCGGCGGGCCUAACACAUGCAAGUCGAGCGGAGAACUUCGGUUCUUAGCGGCGGACGGGUGAGUAACGCGUAGGUAAUGUGCCUUCUGGUGGGGAACAACCGUGCGAAAGCAUGGCUAAUACCGCAUAUGUCGAGAGAUGAAAGCCUUCGGGCGCCAGUAGAGCAGCCUGCGUCCCAUUAUUUAGUCCUAGUUGGUGAGGUAACGGCUCACCAAGGGUACGAUGGGUAGCUGGUCUGAGAGGAUGAUCAGCCACACUGGAACUGAGACACGGUCCAGACUCCUACGGAGGCAGCAGUGGGGAAUAUUGCGCAAUGGGGGAAACCCUGACGCAGCCACGCCGCGUGAGUGAUGAAGGCCU